GUGAUCCUCCUGCCUCGGCCUCCCUAGUAGCUGGGAUUACAGGCGUGCCCCAUGAUGUCUAGCCACAGCGCUGGCUUCCUGAGUUGGCUGCAUGAAUAAGCUGGGAGCCAGGACACAGUUCUAGCCUGGUGCCAGGGAAGCCCAAGGCUCAUCAUGAAGCCUGACAAGUGGGCAAAGGCCAAGCCGACAGUGUGCAGGGCCAAGUCUGCCCUCUGCUGCCUCCUAGGACCUGUCCUGCUUGCUGCCCCAGGAAAGGCCUGAGAGGCUGGAGUCUGG
Molecule: long non-coding RNA, 276 nt
Filed under: Marmota monax (woodchuck)
Lineage: Eukaryota; Metazoa; Chordata; Mammalia; Rodentia; Sciuridae
Source: RNAcentral